This is a non-coding RNA of Leptonychotes weddellii (Weddell seal), 1942 nucleotides long. NCBI's taxonomy places the organism in Eukaryota, Metazoa, Chordata, Mammalia, Carnivora, Phocidae. The record is from RefSeq and is a predicted model, not a curated record.
GGGGGCACUCACUGCGAGAGUGCUUCUGGCCCGGUGCCUGAGCCCCCAGAGGCAGUCCCAAGAAGAGGUGCAGGAUCUGCCCAGCUGGGGCUCCGGAACCUGGCGGCAGCCAGCCUGGGGGUGGGCACCUCCAGGCAGCCACUGUGACUGAGCUCCACGUUUGCCACCAGGACCACGCCUGGGCACUACCUGGUCAACUGAGGAGGAGUAGGCCCAGGGCAAGCCGAGGACCCCAGGAUUGAAGACUCAGGUUGGACUGGCAGCAAAGGGCACUGCUUGCACCUGGAUGCCCACCGAUGCCCAGACCUCUGUAGUGCCCUUGGGGGCUGCUCAGGCUUGUACGGCUUAUCUGUCCAGCCCCAUCGGCCACCUUCCUGGAGCAGGGAACAACCUCUGAGCAAGGAGACCCAGAGGCCUGCGGGUGGCUGCAGGAAGGCCUGGACUGAAGGGCUGGCAAAGGUGGGCCUGGAGCUGGUGGUGGGUUGCAAGGGCCUCAGGUGGGUGUAGCCCCCUCUGCUUGUGGUUCUGGGGCCAGCUCCUGUGGCUGCACCUGGGUGUGCUGCUCCAGCUCCUGGUGGUCCAGCUGCUGCAGCUGUCUCUCCACAUCCUCGGGCACCUGUACCUCCAGCAGGUUUUCCAUGCCCGGCUCUGGCUCAUCCCCAAUGAGCACCUGCCAGCACGGGAGGCAGGUGAGCAUCUGGCUGGCACACCACGGACAUCCACCCCCCCUUCCCCACAAGCCUCGCACCCACCUGAAUGAGUUUCUCACAAGUCACCUGCACGUCGGGCUCUGGCUCCCAGCUGUGUAGCUCACGCAGGAUCAGGUAGGCUCCCUGGUUUCUCACCUGCUGCCGACCAGACGCUGUGGCUGUUAGCUGGAAGACGGCAAAGGUCACACAGGUAUCAGUGCACUCACGUAUGUGUGGGCAUGUUGCGAGGUGGCGUUAGCAUAGCAGGACCCCUGCUCACCAGCAUGAUGGCCUCGAGGAGCAUCUUGCGGAUGUCAGCAUCAGGCUCUCGCUGCUUGUCUGGCGGCAGAUACUGCAGGUCGGCAGGCAGCCCUAGAGGUGUAUGUGGGGUUACUGCGUGCCAGCACCGGGUAGCUAGGCCAGACCCUGCCUUGGUAAGCCCCGUCUGUGCUCAGCAUCUCCCUGCUGGAAGGUUUCAGAGGGAGUCCUGAUGGGCGCAUCUGCCCGCCCCCCCAGUGGCCUUCCCCUCCCCCCGCCAACCCUGAGGCUCCACCCAAGCCACUCACGCUCCAUCUCCUCCUCAGAGAAGUCCUCAGGCCCAGCCAGGGGCAGCAGCAAGAAAGGGAGAAUGUCCACCUGGGGCCCAAGCAACCACUCGUGGUGUCCUGAGGGGAAAACAGAAAUGGGAGCCAGCCUAGAGGGGGGCCCCCCGAAGUGGUCUCUUUGCCCCAGCCCGCCCAACCGCAACACCCUCACCCCCAUCACCACUCACGAUGCUCGAAGCAGCAGUUUCGGAGAGUCCCCACCACCCCGCCCCUGCGCACCGAGGAGUCUGAGAACUGGGAACCUCAACGGUACCCCUUGUGUAGCUGCGACGACGUCAAAACCAAGGAGUCUGUGUGGUUUAUGCCACUUUACCACCUGUGGAGACUCAUGGAACCAAUGCGGCUGUCAAAAUAGGGAGCGGUGUCAUCGCCACGAAGACCUCCUUGUGCCGUGCGAGCUCCCAGCCUUGCCCCGGGGAAGCACAAACCUGUUCUUCCUCUGUAACUCUGUCACUUCUCGAGUGUGACGGAAAUGGAAUCACACCGCAGAUGACCCCUGGAGGUCGUCACGCGUGUCACACGUUUCAUUUUUAUGGCCACGGAGUACCCCGUGGUGUGCACCUGCCAGUGGGGUGGCCGUUUGCCUGUUGAAGGACCUUUGUGUCAUUUCCAGGCUGAGGCUAUUACAAAUAAAGCUGCUGUAAAACA